UACGUAGGGGGCUAGCGUUGCUCGGAAUCACUGGGCGUAAAGCGCACGUAGGCGGAUUGUUAAGUCAGGGGUGAAAUCCUGGAGCUCAACUCCAGAACUGCCUUUGAUACUGGCGAUCUCGAGUCCGGGAGAGGUGAGUGGAACUGCGAGUGUAGAGGUGAAAUUCGUAGAUAUUCGCAAGAACACCAGUGGCGAAGGCGGCUCACUGGCCCGAUACUGACGCUGAGGCACGAAAGCGUGGGGAGCAAACAGG
Molecule: ribosomal RNA, 253 nt
Filed under: uncultured bacterium
Lineage: Bacteria
Description: partial 16S ribosomal RNA
Rfam family: Bacterial small subunit ribosomal RNA
Source: RNAcentral